This 6991-nucleotide long non-coding RNA is filed under the name Sus scrofa (pig). RNAcentral describes it as "lncRNA (ENSSSCG00050068687.1)". Lineage: Eukaryota; Metazoa; Chordata; Mammalia; Artiodactyla; Suidae. The record is from RNAcentral.
UUUUUUUUUUUUUUUCCUUUUUAGGGCCACAGGUGCAGCAUGUGGAAGUUUCCAUGCUAGGGGUCAAAUUGAAGCUACAGCUGCCAGCCUACGCCACAGCCACAGCAAUAUGGCUCAAGGCAACUCCGGAUCUUUAACCCACUGAGCAAGGUAGUGAUUGAACCUGCAUCCUCUUGGAUCCUAGUUGGGUUUGUUACUGCUGAGCCAUGAUGGGAACUCCUAAUUUUUUAAAUUAAGGUGUAGUUGAUUUACAAUGUUGUAUCAAUUUCUGCUAUACAACAAAGUGACCCAGUCCCAUAUAUCUAUAUAUAUAUAGAUAAAUAGAUAGAUACACACACACACACAUAUAUAUACACACACAUUCCUUUUCUCAUAUUAUUUUACAUCAAGUUCUAACACAAGAGAUUGGAUAGCAUUUAAUGUUAAUUCACACUAUAGUGUCAUGACCUGCACAGAGUCCUUUCAGUGCCUGAAGAAGAGAAACAGCCUAAUGUUAACAGGUAGCAUCGGUGCAGGCAUUGUAAGGAGUAUUUGACAAGUACUUCAUUUAUAAGAACAUCCCAAUAAACCGUAACUAUUCUCAUUUUAGAGCUGAAGACAAUGAGGUUUAGGAGGUGGUUGAGCAAAUUGUCUAAGGUUACUAUAGGACAGAGCCAGGCCCCACCCACAUCCAUCUGAUAUGAAAGUCUAUUUUAAGCAUCAGCUCUACCACCUGAGCAAGUCUGGCCUAGGCCUUUGUUCCCAGCAUCAUCCCAGAUUGACCCAUAAGUAUAACACUAUUAUGCCGAUCCUUUACUUCACCAACAUCUCUUCUGCCAUUUCCCUAAAAGCCACCAUCUCCCUUCUCAGCCUCUGUCCUGUGUAUGACAACAGAGCUUAUAGCUCCAUUUAGAAUCACUUUACCCUGGACUUUAUUCCAGAAGAUUGACUUCUUCCCUUUAGUUCAUGGUUCUUAACCUAGGAUCUAAGGAAAAAACUUGGUGGGGAGGAAUUAGGAUGGGCAAAUGCCUUGAAAUUGUAAAUUUUCAUGUAUGUAAACAGGUGCAUUUUUCAAGAAAAGGAAGUCUCAAGGUUUUGAUCAGGUUCUCAAGGAAUUUAUUGACUGAAAAAAAAUACACAACCUAAAAGCUGAAAAUUGUGUUUUAUUUGCUGGACAUUUUGAGGACUUCGAGCCUGGGACAUAGCACCUCAGAUAAGGCUGAGAAACUCUUCUCAAGAGGAAACAGUGGGGAGGGGUGGAGGAGGGAUGCAGCCAGGAUAUACAGGCAUCUUUGCAAUGAAAGACCAGGAAGUCAGAACAUCAAAAGUAAACCAGAUCUCUCAAGUUAAGGAAUUAGUGCUUUUCUAUGUAUGGAAAGAUGCAAGAGUCUGGGCUCACUGAAAUCAUUCCUUCAAUAAACACCUUAGCUCUCUGGGGCCAGUACCCUGUGCUUUCUCAUCCUGAGUCUCCUCAGAGUGCACCAGUGGGGAGCCUGCAGCAGUUGACUGCUUGAUGGCAGGCAUCCUGUUUCCAACCUAAGUUCCCUCAGGACUCAUCGUCAGGGUGUUGUAAUGCGAUGGCUUGACGGCUGCAACAUCUUUUGUUCACUGAUAUGGCAGGCAAUAUUUUAGUUUUCAAAUCUGUGGCCAAAAAAUAUUAAAACCAUAGCUUGAUUCAAUUUCCAGGGCAUAAAGGUAAGAGAGAAAGAAUUUGCCUAGAAAGUGGAAGGUUGGUGACAUCAGAGUAGUGCAAGAACAACUGACUUUGAACUUCACAAAUCUGCCUGGGACUUUCUAUAAUGCUCUGUUGUGAAAUUUCAUCCACUGCCCACUAAUUAGUUCUGCCUGUCUUGUGUGUGAUCAGGGGUCAGGUACUUGGGGUAUGGUGACUAUGGAGCACAGAGUAGGCAUUCUUGAUGCAUCACAAUCCCAGCUGGUUCUUGGUGGAAAGGGUUCUUCCUCUCAGACUUGACUGCUAGAUGGACAGUACCCCUGAGCUUCCAGUAUACUCAAUAGGAAGUUGAGGAAAGUGGGAAAGAUGGUGACAAUAAUGGUAGAGCAUGUCUGGUAACUACGAACAAUUUCCUCUGUUUCCUCAACAUUACUCAGUGGCCUCGCCUUUUAUGAUGUGGUCUUGGUCAUGCAAGACAAAAUUACAUACUGCAGUCUGAUAAGACCUGACUAUUUUAUUAUUAAGAGGAUGUGAGAGGUUAAGUGUUAAGUGAGAUGUAAUGCAAUUUAAGGGAGGUAGGUAGUGGUGAGUGGAUAGAAAAAAUUUAAGAGGAAAAAUGUUCUUUUUCAAAAGAGAAAAUACUCAAAUGCAAGGAAAAGAAAGGCUAAUGACCAAAUGAUGAAAAUCCUAGUUCUAAUUACCAUUUGGGUAUUAAUAGUUGAAAAAUGUUGUAAACCACCUAAUGCCCACAUUUUCUCAUUGAUGGAGAACACAAUGAAGGUUUUAAGGAAAGUAAUUUCCAUCUCAAAAAUCAUAGUUGUUCAUCUGGGGGUGGUCAGGAUGAUAGAGAGAUGAAUGAAUCAGAAAUGGUACCAUGGUUCUCUACUGAAAGUAAAAGAACAAGUCCAAAGUGGUUUAACACAUGUAACUACAGUGUCCAGGAACUACACUGAAGACGUCAAGGAGUAUAGUGGCUUCCUCCCAGGGAGGCUACGGGAGGUGGUGGGGCUGGAUCCAGGUAGACAGUCCUAAGCAGAGAAGGAGGGUCAAACUGGGAGGAACCAGGAUGUGCCAUUAAAAAUCCUAAAGAGGAAAGAUAAAAAGGAAGCCCAGAGACCACGUGUGGGGCAUCUUUUGUGGCCCCUUGGGGGGCAGGCAAUGCAGAGAAGGAAGUUGGACUUGUCUUGAUCACAAGCUGGAAAGAAUCUUCAGGAUUAAGUUAAAUGAGGACAUUCAGCACAUGGGAGAGACUUUUAAACCCUAACUGAGGCACCAAGACAGCAUGAGACUGUAGUAUUAGUCCCUAGUUAUAUGUGGUUUGCAUUACCAAAUUCUCUGGACACACACAAGUCACCUAAACUCACUGUAAAACAGAUUUUACAGUGUGUACAAAACUAUACGGAAUUAUAUAAACUCCGGAUACAAACUAUAACAUAAAAAUCUACAUGACUCUUUCCUGAUCCCAUUACUUUCCCCAGAGGAAAUUGGUAUUAAUAGUUCUAUAUGCACCAAAUACACACAUGUGCACUAUUUUUUCAGAUAUAUAUCUCUGUGUUCUGUGAUUUACUAAACAGUAUGUCACAAUCUUCACACUGUUUUAAUUCAUAUAGAUCUGCCUCAUCUUAUUAAUAGUUACAGAUUAUUUUGAAGUAUCAAAUACUGUAAUUUAUUUGUCCACGUCCCCUUGCCAAUCCCAUCGUUUGCAGAAAUUUCUCAGAUGCCCUGCCAUUCACUCACUCAUUCAUUCAUUGGAUUCGGAACAUCCACAAUCACUAUGGCCUCAUGUCAAACCUACGGUUAGUACAAAGAUGUAAAAUCCGUGCCUUUUUAUGCUCAAGGCUUAAAAUCAAGUGGAGGCGAUAAGAACCUAGUCGUAUUAAUCUGGUUGUAAAAUAUAGGUCAGUUUAAAGCCACAUUAAAUCCUUUCUGCUCUAAGCCAAGUGUUAGUAGGGAGGCAGUCAAUGUAAACAGAUAAAUAACCAGUUUGCAGCACUGGAUUAAUGCUGCAUGGGGAGUAUAAACAAAGAGCCACAGGAGUCGAGAAGAGGGAGAGAUGGUUUCCAGCAGGGUUUUCCGGCUCCCAUCCCCUGCACACAGCCUGGCCAGAUCAAUCUUCCCGCAGCAGCGCUUUGAUCAUGCCACUACUUUACUCAGAAACCUCCCGUGACCCUCCAUGGCCUGGCCUCUUUUCCCAUCUGCUGCAGAAAUUACUUCAUCCACGUCACCGUUUCCAUUAGAAUGGAGGUCAUUGUGACAGGGCUGAGAGUUGGAGUCGUUACAAAAUCUGGGUGUGAAACCUGCUUCUGUCACUUCUCAGCUCAGUGACAUUGGGUAAACCAAGCAUCCCCCCUCCCCCUGGUUUUGGCUGCUCCCUCAGUCAACUGUUGAUAUUGCCCAUCUCAUUUUUUGGGCAAUGUAAUUAAAUGAGAAAAGGUGGGUGGAAGUUCUCUGUUAACUAUGAAGUGUUCUGUGAGUACAAGACACAUAUAUUUCUAUGUGAUAUACAGAUUUGUAAAGGCACUGGGUAAUGGUGUGUUUGUAAAUACGGCUACUAAGACUUCUGUGUGAGGUGCCUAUAAAGAAGCUUUGAUACUUGCUUUGGACUCUGAAGGAUUGAUUUUGACAGGAGGAUGAGGGGAUGGCAUGAGACUGUUUAAAGAGGCUGCAAAAGCCCACAGUGUGUUUGGGGAUGAGCCAAUCGUGACUGCCUCCAGGGGGAGGUUUACCCACUGGGGAGCACACUCACGCCCUGGGAAGAGCUGGGACCGGUUCUUGUGGAGGCUCCCAACGGCUGGGCCAGGAGGGUUGUAUCCCAGUCCUACAGGCUCUGGGGGGGCAUGAGACAUUUUGAGCAGAGGAAAGGUGUGAUCAGAGGUGGUCAAAUGCCCAGCAUUCUGAGGAAGGGAUCAACAGGAAGGUGCUUCCAGCUAAAGAGGAUUCCUGAAAGACUACGGCGAGGCUGGGUGGCAAAAGAUGUCACUGAGCCAGGAUUCUGGCCGAGGAGAUGGAGAGGAACAGAGGUAAGUUAGUGAGACUGUUGUGAAAUCGUUGGCUGGAUUCUUGGCCAUUGGUUGUACUCUGAGGAGGAGGAAGAGAGAGGGAUGAAGGAGAUUUUAACCUGAUGGUGACCUGGGGUUGGGAAAUGCGCCACUGAGGACCAGAGAAAAUAGGAGUUAAGGGGGAGUGCACUUUUUUGCCUGGGAUAUGUUGGCAAUGGAAGGGAAAAUAGGAAACAUGGCCAGGAGUGAUAACUGAACUAGCCAGGGAGACAGCAGCGGAGGGGCUGGGUAAUGAGCCCUAGUUUCUCACAGACCUCACUGGUUCAGAAGCUGGAUUGAAGCCUACAUUUGCAUUUUCUGUGAACAUAAAGUGUACCCAGAAAAUUAACAGUGAAAACUGGAUUUGGGGAGACUCUUAAAUCUUCAAGGAACAAAUAGUUUUCAAGAACCGACUUAUUAGAAACAAUUGACUUGCUGAUUAUAGUUUAUUCUCAGCUGUCUCCUCUAUUCAUGAAAGAGUUUCCUUCAAAGGAUUUGGCUUAGAAACUUUAUUCGCCCGUGUUUCAACGACUGUAUAUCGUUAAAAGGAAUCCAGAUGCAUUUCUUUACAAAUAGUCUUCCAUUCAGACAUUUUACCAGUUCAAAAUCACUUUGAUUUCUAAUAUGUUUGAAUAAAUAAGUCUAUGCUGCUAAGCCUGUUUCCUAAGGAUUUGAGAAUUAACUUGGAAAUCAAUUGUAAGGCACUAUUUUCUGGGAAAACCCACUAUUUUGUAGCCAGAUGUCUCCUAAAAUACUAUAAACCAGGAAAAAAAAAAAAACCUUCAUUUGCAUUAUUCACCAAAGGAAACAAGACUUUUUCCCCAUCGUCAAAACUAAAUUUCUCUGUUUUAUGUGAGUUUACUCCAUUUCAUCUUUUCUUUCUUUCUUUCUUUCUUUCUUUCUUUCUUUUUCUUUUUUUCUUUCUUUCUUCCCUCCCUCCCUCUUCCUUCCUUCCUUCCUUCCUUCCUUCCUUCCUUCCUUUCCUUCUCUCUCUGUUUCUUUUGUUCACUCUGUCUCUGGCAUGUGAAAUUUUCCCAGUUUCCCAGGCCAGAGAUCAAACCUGUUCCACAGCAGCGACCCAAGCUGAUGCAGUGACAAUGCUGGAUCCUUAACCCGCUGCACCACAAGAGAACUUCUCUAUUUCAUUUUAUGAUCUACGAUUAUCUAUACUGAAAGCAUAAAAAAAAAUUCAGUUCACCGUAAAAAUAAGAGUAGUGAAAUAUAAGUGAGAAUUUGUCAUGCAAAUAGAUUUUCACAUUGGAAUAAUAACUAGCACAGGAAAAAGUCCCACACUUGAAAAAGCAUACGACUCCAUAUUGUCUCAUAUUACAAAGAUCUAUACAGUAUUUUAAAGGACUGACUAGAUUUUUUGUGUAUGCUUUUUAUACUUGAAGUUAUACAAUGGCCUUAUUGAAAAGUUACCAACAUAAUUUGAAAUAAAAUUUUACAUCUUAAAACAUUAUAUAGUUGGAGGUAGUUAUUCGAUUCGAAAGCAGCAAAUAUGGGAUUUUCCUUCAAGGCUCAGUGGUUCAAAAACUCAACUAGGAUCCAUGAGGAUUUGGGUUUGAUCCCUGGCCUCGCUCAGUGGGUUAAGGAUCCAGCGUUGCCACGAGCUGUGGUGUAGGUCGCAGAUGUGGCUCGGAUCCCGAGUUGCUGUGGCUGUGGUAUAGGCCGGCAGCUGUAGCUCUGAUUUGACCCCUAGCCUGGGAACUUCCAUAUGCUGCGGGUGGGGCCCUAAAAAAAAAAAAAGAGCAGCAAACAUGUCUGCUGAGGGAAGUAAAAGCAAACACUUUGGAAACAAUCCUUCAACUUAUAUAAUGAGUGUCAAGAAACUGAUAGUGUUUUUGACCAGUUCAUUUCUAGCAGCCACUGAGACUAAUAUCUAUUUUGGUUUUUUGUUGUUGUUGUUUUUGUUUUUGAUUUUUUUUUUUUUUUUUUUUUUUUGAAAAGAAAAAGUGUUCACUGUAGAAGUCUAGCAAAGGUGGCUGAGGACAUAGGAACAUUGGAAUGAAUGUGCGGCCAGCAAGUAAAACCACAGAGGCCUCUAUCUUUAUUCCAUAUGGUCUGAAGUGAGUCUGAUGGGAUUUCAGAUCGUGGCCUGAGAUAGCCCAGGAUCAUGCAAAGCUCCUGAAUGAAAACUCCAAACUUCUGAAUCAAAACCUCAAAUGCAGGCCAAGUUCGCUGAGGGGUUUGCUGAGGCUUGUGAAACUCUGCGUGAACCUGCCUCCAAUCCUAAACUAGGUAGGGCACAUUUCAAAUGAACCUGAGAUGAAUUAUGGUUUUAGGUGGCAAUCAAGCGAAA